GUCAUAGCUCAGUGGUAAGGCAUCUGCUUUGUAUGCAAAAGGGUCCGGGUUCAAAUCCUCAAACCCUGGAGAGCCA
This is a non-coding RNA of Podarcis lilfordi (Lilford's wall lizard), 76 nucleotides long. Lineage: Eukaryota; Metazoa; Chordata; Lepidosauria; Squamata; Lacertidae. The record is from the annotation of a GenBank genome assembly.